GGGCGUAUGGCCAAAUGGUUAAGGCGCCUGACUACGAAUCAGGAGAUUACAGGUUCGAGUCCUGUUACGCUCG
RNAcentral lists this transfer RNA (73 nucleotides) under Amphiamblys sp. WSBS2006. It matches the Rfam family "tRNA". Rfam says of the family: Transfer RNA (tRNA) molecules are approximately 80 nucleotides in length. Their secondary structure includes four short double-helical elements and three loops (D, anti-codon, and T loops). The record is from Rfam by way of RNAcentral. Lineage: Eukaryota; Fungi; Microsporidia; Amphiacanthidae.